UAUUGCACGAUGGGGGAAACCCUGAUGCAGCGACGCCGCGUGAGUGAAGAAGUAUUUCGGUAUGUAAAGCUCUAUCAGCAGGGAAGAAAAUGACGGUACCUGAUUAAGAAGCCCCGGCUAACCACGUUCCAGCAGCCGCGGUAAUACGUAGGGGGCAAGCGUUAGCCGGAUUUACUGGGCGUAAAGGGAGCGUAGACGGCAGCACAAGUCUGGAGUGAAAUGCCGGGGCUUAACCCCGGAACUGCUUUGGAAACUGUGCAGCUAGAGUGCAGGAGAGGUAAGUGGAAUUCCUAGUGUAGCGGUGAAAUGCGUAGAUAUUAGGAGGAACACCAGUGGCGAGGGCGGCUUACUGGACUGUAACUGACGUUGAGGCUCGAGAGCGUGGGGAGCAGACAGG
Molecule: ribosomal RNA, 397 nt
Filed under: uncultured bacterium
Lineage: Bacteria
Description: bacterial SSU rRNA
Rfam family: Bacterial small subunit ribosomal RNA
Source: RNAcentral